GGAAGCGUGUCAGAGUGGUUUAUUGGGACUGCCUCGAAAACAGUUGGCCGCAAGGCCACAGAGGUUCGAAUCCUCUCGCUUCCGCCA
This 87-nucleotide transfer RNA is filed under the name Chloroflexota bacterium. RNAcentral's name for it is "tRNA-Ser". It matches the Rfam family "tRNA". Rfam says of the family: Transfer RNA (tRNA) molecules are approximately 80 nucleotides in length. Their secondary structure includes four short double-helical elements and three loops (D, anti-codon, and T loops). Lineage: Bacteria; Bacillati; Chloroflexota. The record is from RNAcentral.